AGUGAACGCUGGCAGUAGGCCUAACACAUGCAAGUCGAACGGCAGCACAGUAAGAGCUUGCUCUUACGGGUGGCGAGUGGCGGACGGGUGAGGAAUACAUCGGAAUCUACUUUUUCGUGGGGGAUAACGUAGGGAAACUUACGCUAAUACCGCAUAAGACCUACGGGUGAAAGCAGGGGAUCUUCGGACCUUGCGCGAUUGAAUGAGCCGAUGUCGGAUUAGCUAGUUGGCGGGGUAAAGGCCCACCAAGGCAACGAUCCGUAGCUGGCCUGCGAGGAUGAUCAGCCACACUGGAACUGAGACACGGUCCAGACUCCUACGGGAGGCAGCAGUGGGGAAUAUUGGACAAUGGGCGCAAGCCUGAUCCAGCCAUACCGCGUGGGUGAAGAAGGCCUUCGGGUUGUAAAGCCCUUUUGUUGGGAAAGAAAAGCAGCAGGUUAAUACCCCGCUGUUCUGACGGUACCCAAAGAAUAAGCACCGGCUAACUUCGUG
This 492-nucleotide ribosomal RNA is filed under the name uncultured bacterium. RNAcentral describes it as "partial 16S ribosomal RNA". It matches the Rfam family "Bacterial small subunit ribosomal RNA", at positions 29 to 507 of the family's 1533-position model. The record is from RNAcentral.